AGAGUUUGAUCAUGGCUCAGAUUGAACGCUGGCGGCAUGCCUUACACAUGCAAGUCGAACGGUAACAGGUCUUCGGAUGCUGACGAGUGGCGAACGGGUGAGUAAUACAUCGGAACGUGCCCGAUCGUGGGGGAUAACGAGGCGAAAGCUUUGCUAAUACCGCAUACGAUCUACGGAUGAAAGCGGGGGAUCUUCGGACCUCGCGCGGAUGGAGCGGCCGAUGGCAGAUUAGGUAGUUGGUGGGAUAAAAGCUUACCAAGCCGACGAUCUGUAGCUGGUCUGAGAGGAUGAUCAGCCACACUGGGACUGAGACACGGCCCAGACUCCUACGGGAGGCAGCAGUGGGGAAUUUUGGACAAUGGGCGAAAGCCUGAUCCAGCCAUGCCGCGUGCAGGAUGAAGGCCUUCGGGUUGUAAACUGCUUUUGUACGGAACGAAAAGCCUCUUUCUAAUAAAGAGGGGUCAUGACGGUACCGUAAGAAUAAGCACCGGCUAACUACGUGCCAGCAGCCGCGGUAAUACGUAGGGUGCAAGCGUUAAUCGGAAUUACUGGGCGUAAAGCGUGCGCAGGCGGUUUUGUAAGACAGAGGUGAAAUCCCCGGGCUCAACCUGGGAACUGCCUUUGUGACUGCAAGGCUGGAGUGCGGCAGAGGGGGAUGGAAUUCCGCGUGUAGCAGUGAAAUGCGUAGAUAUGCGGAGGAACACCGAUGGCGAAGGCAAUCCCCUGGGCCUGCACUGACGCUCAUGCACGAAAGCGUGGGGAGCAAACAGGAUUAGAUACCCCGGUAGU
This 789-nucleotide ribosomal RNA is filed under the name uncultured bacterium. RNAcentral's name for it is "bacterial SSU rRNA". It matches the Rfam family "Bacterial small subunit ribosomal RNA", at positions 8 to 794 of the family's 1533-position model. The record is from RNAcentral.